GAUGAAGAACGUAGCGAAAUGCGAUAAGUAAUGUGAAUUGCAGAAUUCAGUGAAUCAUCGAAUCUUUGAACGCACAUUGCGCCCGCCAGUAUUCUGGCGGGCAUGCCUGUUCGAGCGUCAUUUCAACCAUCAAGCUCUGCUUGCGUUGGGGAUCCGCGGCUGCCCGCGGUCCCUCAAAACCAGUGGCGGGCUCGCUAGUCACACCGAGCGUAGUAACUUUACAUCGCUAUGGUCGUGCGGCGGGUGCUUGCCGUAAAACCCCCCAAUUUUUAAGGUUGACCUCGGAUCAGGUAGGAAUACCCGCUGAACUUAAGCAUAUCAAUAAGCGGAGGA
RNAcentral lists this unclassified non-coding RNA (333 nucleotides) under soil metagenome. RNAcentral describes it as "partial contains 5.8S ribosomal RNA, internal transcribed spacer 2, and large subunit ribosomal RNA". The stretch from base 1 to 120 matches the Rfam family "5.8S ribosomal RNA", at positions 35 to 154 of the family's 154-position model. The record is from RNAcentral.